ACCAUGCAGUCGACGAGACCUUUUAGGUCUAGUGGCGCACGGGUGCGUAACGCGUGGGAAUCUGCCCUUAGGUUCGGAAUAACAGUUAGAAAUGACUGCUAAUACCGGAUAAUGUCUUCGGACCAAAGAUUUAUUGCCUAAGGAUGAGCCCGCGUAAGAUUAGCUUGUUGGUGAGGUAAAGGCUCACCAAGGCGACGAUCUUUAGCUGGUCUGAGAGGAUGAUCAGCCACACUGGGACUGAGACACGGCCCAGACUCCUACGGGAGGCAGCAGUGGGGAAUAUUGGACAAUGGGCGAAAGCCUGAUCCAGCAAUGCCGCGUGAGUGAUGAAGGCCUUAGGGUUGUAAAGCUCUUUUACCCGGGAUGAUAAUGACAGUACCGGGAGAAUAAGCCCCGGCUAACUCCGUGCCAGCAGCCGCGGUAAUACGGAGGGGGCUAGCGUUGUUCGGAAUUACUGGGCGUAAAGCGUACGUAGGCGGCUUUGUAAGUUAGAGGUGAAAGCCCGGAGCUCAACUCCGGAAUUGCCUUUAAGACUGCAUCGCUUGAAUCAUGGAGAGGUGAGUGGAAUUCCGAGUGUAGAGGUGAAAUUCGUAGAUAUUCGGAAGAACACCAGUGGCGAAGGCGACUCACUGGACAUGUAUUGACGCUGAGUACGAAAGCGGUGGGGAGCAAACAGGAUUAGAUACCCUGGUAGUCCACGCCGUAACGAUGAUACUAGCUGUCGGGCUCUAAAGUUUCGGUGGG
Molecule: ribosomal RNA, 744 nt
Filed under: uncultured bacterium
Lineage: Bacteria
Description: bacterial SSU rRNA
Rfam family: Bacterial small subunit ribosomal RNA
Source: RNAcentral